Molecule: ribosomal RNA, 162 nt
Filed under: uncultured bacterium
Lineage: Bacteria
Description: partial 16S ribosomal RNA
Rfam family: Bacterial small subunit ribosomal RNA
Source: RNAcentral
UAGGGAAUUUUCGUCAAUGGGCGCAAGCCUGAACGAGCGAUGCCGCGUGAGUGAAGAAGGCCUUCGGUCGUAAAGCUCUGUUGCGGGGGAAAAAAGGACAGCAUCAGGAAAUGGGUGCUGACUGAUGGUGCCCCGCCAGAAAGUCAUGGCUAACUACGUGCC